Phyllostomus discolor (pale spear-nosed bat) is the source of this 1820-nucleotide long non-coding RNA. RefSeq lists it as uncharacterized. NCBI's taxonomy places the organism in Eukaryota, Metazoa, Chordata, Mammalia, Chiroptera, Phyllostomidae. The record is from RefSeq and is a predicted model, not a curated record. The transcript has 2 exons.
CUGGUGGGCCGAGGGGGCCUGCUGGGCCCUGGGGGUGCAUGGUCCUUGGUCUGGGUGGGGGUGAGUGAGGGGCCAGGCGAAGGGCCCACCCUCAGAGCCUCGGCCUGAGAGGAGAGCCCUCCUGAGGGAUGUCUGCCCUCCCUCCCGGCUCCCUCACAGGGUUGGGGACCCUACUCCCAGCUUCCGACCGUCUCACACCCUAGACAGAGGGGCAGCAUCUGCAUCCCCAUGUUGUCCAUUAGUCUCCCCCGACCCAGUUCUUUGAUAAAAGCUUUUCAGUUUUCUGUGCAGGACCACGUGAGCUCCCCAGCCACCGUGCCCCCUGCUCUUGUGAGCUGCCACCCCUGAGCCCUCCCUUCGGGGGAGCACCGACCCGGAGCCCCCACCAUAGCCAGUGGGCCCGAGGUGCCCUUUGAGCAAGGGGCCGUCUGCAUGGAGGGUGGGCCAGACUCAGGCCCACCAUGUACCCACACUUCCCCCUGUCUGGGCUCCCUUGUCCCUCUGUGGCCCCCUCCAGCCCACUCCUCACGAAGCCACCAUGUGGAGCUGGUGAAGAUGUGAGGCCACCACAGGGCGCCCAAGGCCCGCAGCGGCACCACGGAGAAGACACAGGCAGUGGGAACUGGGACCUGCAGGGACAGCUUCUCUGGGAAGUGCAGAGCCCUCAGAAGCGUCUUGCUCGAACCGGGAUCACAGUGACUGCGAGGGAGGCUGUUCUGCUGCAGCUGGUGGCUGGAAAAGGCCACCCAGAACUCAGGGACACACGGGAUCUGAUUAAGGUGAGCGCUCCAGCGUCGGUCUGCUUUCCGCAGUGCAGGACGUCCGACGGACUGGUGGGCUGGCGUGCUGUCCAGCGUCUGGUGACUGGACUGUACCCAGACAAGCUCUUGUCCCGACUAGGAUUAAAGUGUUAAGUCAAAAUUGGGUCUUUCUUGGCACUUCUUAAAACUUAACCAGUUAGAACAUUUGGGUUACAAAUGUCAAAAGCUUCAGGUGCUGCUGUUUUUAUUUUUGUUAAUGUGCUUUUAUUUAUUAAAAAGGUUACAGCAGAGGUGCCUGUUUUGUCUAUACUGUAUGCAUCACUCUGUCCAAAGUGCGUGCUUGUGACGUUUUCUUAAAUCAUGCGCCGUACGGAGGGAGAUGGAUCGAAGAUGGUUUGACUUCUGCAGUAUGUAAGGUGCACGCGAGUGUGGGUGCAGUGCUUUUCACUCUGCAGGAUGAUGGAAAAAGGGUUAUGACAUGAGAGUUUAAAAACAGCCCGGCCGGGUGGGGCUGGUCGGUUGAAAACAAGGCUCUGGUUCUUGUUGCUUCUCCCCUCCCAAGGCGGCCCCCUGGCGCACCGAGUGCGUCGAGGUGCUCUAGCCUGAGCAAAUGACAUUGAGUAAUAACAUCUCUUUCUUGAUUAUGCUAAUUUCCAUAUUCUGGUUGCCAUCACCAAUUCUGUUAAAGUUCUCUUUUUCAGCUGACACUUUUACCUAGAAAGACUCAUCGGGUCACUGCUUGUUUUCAUUUUACACCAAUGGGGUGAUUUGCGACGCCACAUAAUUGCUGCAGGGUUGUUUCAAAACCUUUGAAGUAUUAUCGUAGCCCUCUAUUGCUGUAGCACCUCUACAGCCGUCUUGACUAUCUUCUAAUAUGCGCAAGAUUUAGCAACAAGAUAAAGGCUGGAUAAAAUGUACUUUCAAAACAUAUUUUUGUUUGAUGCUUUCUCUACCCACCUUCCAAUUAUUGUUAAUGCAAAAGACAUUAGUGAUGAUUUGGUAGUAUUAAUUUUGUAGUCAUGGCUACCUUGCACUAAAUUUAUUUUCAUUAAACACUUA